CCUACGGGAGGCAGCAGUGGGGAAUAUUGCACAAUGGGGGAAACCCUGAUGCAGCGACGCCGCGUGAGUGAAGAAGUAAUUCGUUAUGUAAAGCUCUAUCAGCAGGGAAGAAAAUGACGGUACCUGAGUCAGAAGCCCCGGCUAACUACGUGCCAGCAGCCGCGGUAAUACGUAGGGGGCCAGCGUUAUCCGGAUUUACUGGGUGUAAAGGGAGCGUAGACGGCAGUGCAAGUCUGGAGGGAAAGGCGGGGGCUUAACCCCCGGACUGCUCUGGAAACUGUACGGCUGGAGUGCAGGAGAGGUAAGGGGAAUUCCUAGUGUAGCGGUGAAAUGCGUAGAUAUUAGGAAGAACACCAGUGGCGAAGGCGGCUUACUGGACUGUAACUGACGUUGAGGCUCGAAAGCGUGGGGAGCAAACAGGAUUAGAUACCCGUGUAGUC
This 440-nucleotide ribosomal RNA is filed under the name uncultured bacterium. Its description in RNAcentral is "partial 16S ribosomal RNA". It matches the Rfam family "Bacterial small subunit ribosomal RNA", at positions 338 to 795 of the family's 1533-position model. The record is from RNAcentral.